Molecule: transfer RNA, 74 nt
Filed under: Bacteroidota bacterium
Lineage: Bacteria; Pseudomonadati; Bacteroidota
Also listed under: 1 other name
Description: tRNA-Arg
Rfam family: tRNA
About the family: Transfer RNA (tRNA) molecules are approximately 80 nucleotides in length. Their secondary structure includes four short double-helical elements and three loops (D, anti-codon, and T loops). Further hydrogen bonds mediate the characteristic L-shaped molecular structure. tRNAs have two regions of fundamental functional importance: the anti-codon, which is responsible for specific mRNA codon recognition, and the 3' end, to which the tRNAs corresponding amino acid is attached (by aminoacyl-tRNA synthetases). tRNAs cope with the degeneracy of the genetic code in two manners: having more than one tRNA (with a specific anti-codon) for a particular amino acid; and 'wobble' base-pairing, i.e. permitting non-standard base-pairing at the 3rd anti-codon position.
Source: RNAcentral
GCGUUGGUAGUUCAAUUGGAUAGAACAUCAGAUUUCGGCUCUGAGGGUUGAGGGUUCGAGUCCUUCCCAACGCA